RNAcentral lists this ribosomal RNA (776 nucleotides) under uncultured beta proteobacterium. RNAcentral describes it as "bacterial SSU rRNA". It matches the Rfam family "Bacterial small subunit ribosomal RNA", at positions 97 to 871 of the family's 1533-position model. Lineage: Bacteria; Pseudomonadati; Pseudomonadota; Betaproteobacteria. The record is from RNAcentral.
GGCGAACGGGUGAGUAAUGUAUCGGAACGUGCCCAGUCGUGGGGGAUAACGUAGUGAAAAUUACGCUAAUACCGCAUACGAUCUAUGGAUGAAAGCGGGGGAUCGCAAGACCUCGCGCGAUUGGAGCGGCCGAUAUCAGAUUAGGUAGUUGGUAGGGUAAAGGCCUACCAAGCCAACGAUCUGUAGCUGGUCUGAGAGGACGACCAGCCACACUGGAACUGAGACACGGUCCAGACUCCUACGGGAGGCAGCAGUGGGGAAUUUUGGACAAUGGGCGAACGCCUGAUCCAGCCAUUCCGCGUGCAGGAUGAAGGCCCUCGGGUUGUAAACUGCUUUUGUACAGAACGAAAAGGUUUCUACUAAUACUAGGAGCUCAUGACGGUACUGUAAGAAUAAGCACCGGCUAACUACGUGCCAGCAGCCGCGGUAAUACGUAGGGUGCAAGCGUUAAUCGGAAUUACUGGGCGUAAAGCGUGCGCAGGCGGUUAUAUAAGUCAGAUGUGAAAUCCCCGGGCUCAACCUGGGAACUGCAUUUGAGACUGUAUAGCUAGAGUACGGCAGAGGGGGAUGGAAUUCCGCGUGUAGCAGUGAAAUGCGUAGAUAUGCGGAGGAACACCGAUGGCGAAGGCAAUCCCCUGGGCCUGUACUGACGCUCAUGCACGAAAGCGUGGGGAGCAAACAGGAUUAGAUACCCUGGUAGUCCACGCCCUAAACGAUGUCAACUGGUUGUUGGGUCUUAACUGACUCAGUAACGAAGCUAACGCGUGAAGUGACCG